UUGCCCGAUGAACCUGAAUAUCCGUUAUGGGAAAUUCAUCAUUAGAAUUGUAAUAUUUUAAAAUAUAUUAUAAUGAUAGUGUGCAUUUUUCCCAUAUAAGGACAUUGUAAUCUAUUAAUAUAUUUAAUUUAUCAUAAAAUAUGACUUAUAGUUUAUUUUUAUUAUUAUGCUUGCAUUUUAACAUAAAAUAAAUGUCAUUCAAUUUGAUAAAGUAUUGAUAGAUUUAUAUGAAAUACAAUGCGUUAAUUUUUCGAAAUUAUAUAAUGGCAUAAUUAUCAAUGAUUUUUAUGUUUAUUAUAUGCAU
Molecule: ribosomal RNA, 304 nt
Filed under: Chymomyza costata
Lineage: Eukaryota; Metazoa; Arthropoda; Insecta; Diptera; Drosophilidae
Description: eukaryotic LSU rRNA
Source: RNAcentral